Molecule: ribosomal RNA, 672 nt
Filed under: Arthrobacter sp.
Lineage: Bacteria; Bacillati; Actinomycetota; Actinomycetes; Micrococcales; Micrococcaceae
Description: bacterial SSU rRNA
Rfam family: Bacterial small subunit ribosomal RNA
Source: RNAcentral
UACUCUUAACGGAGGCAGCAGUGGGGAAUAUUGCACAAUGGGCGCAAGCCUGAUGCAGCGACGCCGCGUGAGGGAUGACGGCCUUCGGGUUGUAAACCUCUUUCAGUAGGGAAGAAGCGAAAGUGACGGUACCUGCAGAAGAAGCGCCGGCUAACUACGUGCCAGCAGCCGCGGUAAUACGUAGGGCGCAAGCGUUAUCCGGAAUUAUUGGGCGUAAAGAGCUCGUAGGCGGUUUGUCGCGUCUGCCGUGAAAGUCCGGGGCUCAACUCCGGAUCUGCGGUGGGUACGGGCAGACUAGAGUGAUGUAGGGGAGACUGGAAUUCCUGGUGUAGCGGUGAAAUGCGCAGAUAUCAGGAGGAACACCGAUGGCGAAGGCAGGUCUCUGGGCAUUAACUGACGCUGAGGAGCGAAAGCAUGGGGAGCGAACAGGAUUAGAUACCCUGGUAGUCCAUGCCGUAAACGUUGGGCACUAGGUGUGGGGGACAUUCCACGUUUUCCGCGCCGUAGCUAACGCAUUAAGUGCCCCGCCUGGGGAGUACGGCCGCAAGGCUAAAACUCAAAGGAAUUGACGGGGGCCCGCACAAGCGGCGGAGCAUGCGGAUUAAUUCGAUGCAACGCGAAGAACCUUACCAAGGCUUGACAUGAACCAGACCCGGGCUGGAAACCAGUCAU